This 22-nucleotide microRNA is filed under the name Spodoptera frugiperda (fall armyworm). RNAcentral's name for it is "sfr-miR-10502-3p". Lineage: Eukaryota; Metazoa; Arthropoda; Insecta; Lepidoptera; Noctuidae. The record is from miRBase by way of RNAcentral.
CUGGUCGGACUUUCUGCCCCCU